This is a non-coding RNA of Populus trichocarpa (black cottonwood), 499 nucleotides long. The record is from Rfam. Lineage: Eukaryota; Viridiplantae; Streptophyta; Magnoliopsida; Malpighiales; Salicaceae.
UGAAAUAAUGUAGGUAAGGUAAGUCGGUAAAAUGAAUUUAUAACUUAAGGAAAAGGAUUGGUUUUGAGGGUUGGUCUUGAGGGUUUCAGUCCCAAACCCAUCGGUUGUUGGUGGAUUGCUCGAGCUGUUCUUGUGGAGAGAGUGGGUCAUCGCGUGUUGGCCGAGAGAUGGACUGGGAACGACCCCUUCGAGGGUCUUCCCAGAGCGUUGAACAAUCGACUAAGAGCUCGUACGGACAAGGAGAAUCCAACUAUUUAAUUAAAACAAAGCAUUGCGAUGGUUCUUGGAGAUGCUCACGCAAUGUGAUUUAUGUCCAGUGCUCUGAAUGUCAAAGUGAAAAAAUUCAACCAAGCGCAGUAAACAGCAGGAGUAAUUAUGACUCUCUUAAGAUAGUCAAAUGCCUCGUUAUCUAAUUAGUGAUACGCAUGAAUGAAUUAAUAAGAUUUUCAAUGUCUCUGUCUACUAUCUAGUGAAACCACAACCAAGAAAACGGGCUUGG